GGAAUUGUUCACAAUGGGCGCAAGCCUGAUGACGCAAUGCCGCGUGGAGGAUGAAGGUCUUCGGAUUGUAAACUCCUGUUGCCAGGGACGAAUGGCUCCGACCUAACACGUCGGAGAAUGACGGUACCUGAUGAGGAAGCCCCGGCUAACUCUGUGCCAGCAGCCGCGGUAAUACAGAGGGGGCAAGCGUUGUUCGGAAUUACUGGGCGUAAAGGGCGCGUAGGCGGCCCGCUAAGUCGAACGUGAAAUCCCCAGGCUCAACCUGGGAACUGCGUCCGAUACUGGCAGGCUUGAAUCCGGGAGAGGGAUGUGGAAUUCCAGGUGUAGCGGUGAAAUGCGUAGAUAUCUGGAGGAACACCGGUGGCGAAGGCAAUCCCCUGGGCCUGCACUGACGCUCAUGCACGAAAGCGUGGGGAGCAAAC
RNAcentral lists this ribosomal RNA (422 nucleotides) under uncultured bacterium. RNAcentral's name for it is "bacterial SSU rRNA". It matches the Rfam family "Bacterial small subunit ribosomal RNA", at positions 358 to 773 of the family's 1533-position model. The record is from RNAcentral.